CAAGACAUCAUAACAACGACGUCAAAAUAGGUCGUGCGUGGGAAGGAAGUACGCGAUAUUGAAGUUGAAGGUUUUAUUGUCGACGAUCCUGCGGAACUACAAGAUCCUGUCGGAUCUCACAGAAAAGGACUUCCGGCUGAAGGUUGACAUUAUUCUCAAAAGAGUAGACGGCUUCCGAAUAAAAAUCGAGCCACGAAACAAAAGCAAUCAGGAGGUUCUCGUUUAAAUGAAGUUCUCAUAGAUGAUUCGUACUAUAUUAUUAACGUUAAUAGUAAUAACAUGUUCAAA
This 288-nucleotide unclassified non-coding RNA is filed under the name Bombus terrestris (buff-tailed bumblebee). Its description in RNAcentral is "misc RNA ENSBTSG00005029638.1". Lineage: Eukaryota; Metazoa; Arthropoda; Insecta; Hymenoptera; Apidae. The record is from RNAcentral.